UGCAUUCACUACUGUAAAUUGCUCUGGAUAAGAGCGUCUGCUAAAAUGACUAAAA
Molecule: non-coding RNA, 55 nt
Organism: Salmo salar (Atlantic salmon)
Lineage: Eukaryota; Metazoa; Chordata; Actinopteri; Salmoniformes; Salmonidae
Source: Rfam